RNAcentral lists this long non-coding RNA (681 nucleotides) under Salmo salar (Atlantic salmon). RNAcentral describes it as "lncRNA (ENSSSAG00000094330.1)". Lineage: Eukaryota; Metazoa; Chordata; Actinopteri; Salmoniformes; Salmonidae. The record is from RNAcentral.
GGGCACCUCUUAAUCAUCGCUAGAAGGCGAGACCAUUUACACUCAUUUCUCUGUGAUCAUAUUAUAUCACUUCCUAGAACUGUCUCUUGUCAUUUUUCUGUUCCCAUUAUAUUGAGGGUAAUAGUCUAAUAGCUAAUAGAAAUUCAGCUCAGGACGGAAUGAUAAGUCGGAAUAUGCUUUUUUAAGCUGUGAUUCUACAUUUUCCACAACCACAUAGGUUCCCUAUCAAAAGCUUCCUUGAAUGGCCAUACUAAUAUAAACCAGCGACUACUCUUGGUUUUAAAAAACGUAUCCUACUUAUGAUUUAGAUAUACAUUAUUUAUCCCUUCCUCUUGAUAAAGCUGUUAAAGAUUAACACUUUGUUCUAAGUUGUGCACGUGUUGUGUUCAAUUGUUCUUGUAAUAUUUUCGGUUCAGAACUAGGGUGUAAAUGUAAUGGUUGUAGCCUAUGCUUCAGGUCAGCCUCCAGGCUUCUUUGACAGACCUGUGACAAGGUCCCUAUCCUCACACACAGACCCAGACAAGGUCCCUAUCCUCACACACAGACCCAGACAAGGUCCCUAUCCUCACACACAGACCCAGACAAGGUCCCUAUCCUCACACACAGACCCAGACAAGGGCAGCCAAUUCAGCAGAUUUCACCCCCAAGCAUGGCCUAUGAGCAUCAGCUGUUCUUGUAAAG